Molecule: unclassified non-coding RNA, 348 nt
Filed under: soil metagenome
Description: partial contains 5.8S ribosomal RNA, internal transcribed spacer 2, and large subunit ribosomal RNA
Rfam family: 5.8S ribosomal RNA (bases 1-120)
Source: RNAcentral
GAUGAAGAACGCAGCGAAAUGCGAUAAGUAAUGUGAAUUGCAGAAUUCAGUGAAUCAUCGAAUCUUUGAACGCACAUUGCGCCCGCCAGUAUUCUGGCGGGCAUGCCUGUCUGAGCGUCAUUUCAACCCUCAUGCCCCUAGGGCGUGGUGUUGGGGAUCGGCCAAAGCCCGCGAGGGACGGCCGGCCCCUAAAUCUAGUGGCGGACCCGUCGUGGCCCCCUCUGCGAAGUAGUGAUAUUCCGCAUCGGAGAGCGAUGAGCCCCUGCCGUUAAACCCCCAACUUUCCAAGGUUGACCUCAGAUCAGGUAGGAAUACCCGCUGAACUUAAGCAUAUCAAUAAGCGGAGGA